UAAAUUCUCGGAUGCAUUCCGGCCUUGGGCGCCUCCCGAUCCGCCGACUCCGGUGGGUCAGGUCGCCUGAAAUUAAACAGCGACGGUUCGCGAAACCGCGACCGGCCACGGCGUAUUACGUUGGGCCUGCCCGACAAACCUUCGCCUAUGUUGCCAACGCAGCUCCGACGUCGUUAUCGCAGAAACGCUUGUUGUGACUUCCCUCUCCGGGGUUGACAUGACGACGCACUUC
RNAcentral lists this unclassified non-coding RNA (232 nucleotides) under uncultured Glomeraceae. RNAcentral's name for it is "sequence contains ITS2". Lineage: Eukaryota; Fungi; Glomeromycota; Glomeromycetes; Glomerales; Glomeraceae. The record is from RNAcentral.